GUAUUAAGGUUGCUCUCGACUUUGUUUCUCCUGAAAACAUCAGUGAGUGCAUUCGUUUGACUGAGGAAUUUCGUGUUCUUCCUAAGAAUCAUAGAGCCAAGGAAGAUAAACUAGAGGUAAAAAAGAUGUCUCUCCAUGCAUUAAGUAAAGCUAUGGACGAUUUGGAACAGCUUACACGGUCUUGAGAUUACAGAAGUUCAGGCAUGAUCAUCGAAAAAUACUUUGCUGUCCCGACUCAUUUCUGCCAUCUUCCCCGGCAUCUUCUUCUUCACAUUCCAGCUGAAUGUUUGGCAUUCUUGGAAUUAUUGAUUAUGACCAUUACUGAGAACCUGCAACGAACAUCUUUAGGUUUUCAUUCUUGGAUUUUUUUUCCC
Molecule: long non-coding RNA, 374 nt
Organism: Cornus florida
Lineage: Eukaryota; Viridiplantae; Streptophyta; Magnoliopsida; Cornales; Cornaceae
Exons: 3
Source: RefSeq, a predicted model, not a curated record